AAUCAACGCUGGCGGCGUGCCUCAGACAUGCAAGUCGAACGCGAAAGUUCCCUUCGGGGGAGUGAGUAGAGUGGCGCACGGGUGAGUAACACGUAGGUAAUCUACCUUUGGUAUGGGGAAGUAACAACCGGAAACGGUUGCUAAUACCGCAUAAUGCAGCGGCACCUAAUGGUGACAGUUGUUAAAGCGGGGGAGUCGAAAGACCUCGCGUCUGAAGAGGAGCCUGCGGCGGAUUAGCUAGUUGGUAAGGUAACGGCUUACCAAGGCGACGAUCCGUAGCCGGCCUGAGAGGGCGGUCGGCCACACUGACACUGACAUACGGGUCAGACUCCUA
RNAcentral lists this ribosomal RNA (334 nucleotides) under uncultured bacterium. Its description in RNAcentral is "bacterial SSU rRNA". It matches the Rfam family "Bacterial small subunit ribosomal RNA", at positions 32 to 341 of the family's 1533-position model. The record is from RNAcentral.